CUCGAUGGUGACGUCCCCAGAAGCUACCUGUUUCUCCAGAGCCUCCUUCUCCACACGGAGCCGGCUGACCUCGAUCUGCAAUUUGUCGUGGUCAACCUGGAGAAAGCCCAAAGCCUUGGCCUGAGUAGCCAUCUCCCCCUCCAUCCGCUCCAGUUCGUCAGCCUGCUCACAGCAUCGGUCCUUCAAGUCCUUUUGAACUUCUUCGAAAGCUUCGACUAUGUCUUGGAGGCUUGUUACUUGAACUUGGAGGGUGACUUCCCGAGCGUAGAAGUCGGCUUGUAGCUCCAUCGCCUCACCCAGCUGCUUUUCAGCCUCCUCCUUGGCCUCUUACGCCAACUUCAGAGAGGCUUGGUAGGCCUCGUUUUGGCGUCCCAGAGUCUUCUUUUCCUCCUCCAGAGCAGCCACCCUUGCUUCCAGGGCCUGGAGGGUUUGUGUCUGCAAAACAGCAU
RNAcentral lists this long non-coding RNA (449 nucleotides) under Phaseolus vulgaris (common bean). RNAcentral's name for it is "long non-coding RNA (PVUL_LNC005352)". Lineage: Eukaryota; Viridiplantae; Streptophyta; Magnoliopsida; Fabales; Fabaceae. The record is from RNAcentral.